AACGAACGCUGGCGGCAUGCCUAACACAUGCAAGUCGAACGAGAUCUUCGGGUCUAGUGGCGCACGGGUGCGUAACGCGUGGGAAUCUGCCCUUUGGUUCGGAAUAACAGUUGGAAACGACUGCUAAUACCGGAUGAUGACGAAAGUCCAAAGAUUUAUCGCCAGGGGAUGAGCCCGCGUAGGAUUAGCUUGUUGGUGUGGUAAAGGCGCACGAAGGCGACGAUCCUUAGCUGGUUAGAGAGGAUGAUCAGCCAGACUGGGACUGAGACAUGGCCCAGACUCCGACGGGAGGCAGCAGUGGGGAAUAUUGGACAAUGGGCGAAAGCCUGAUCCAGCAAUGCCGCGUGCGUGAUGAAGGCCUUAGGGUUGUAAAGCUCUUUUACCCGGGAUGAUAAUGACAGUACCGGGAGAAUAAGCUCCGGCUAACUCCGUGCCAGCAGCAGCCGCAG
Molecule: ribosomal RNA, 449 nt
Filed under: uncultured bacterium
Lineage: Bacteria
Description: partial 16S ribosomal RNA
Rfam family: Bacterial small subunit ribosomal RNA
Source: RNAcentral